UACGAAGGGUGCUAGCGUUGCUCGGAAUCACUGGGCGUAAAGCGCACGUAGGCGGAUUGCUAAGUCAGGGGUGAAAUCCUGGAGCUCAACUCCAGAACUGCCCUUGAUACUGGCGGUCUCGAGUCCGGGAGAGGUGAGUGGAACUGCGAGUGUAGAGGUGAAAUUCGUAGAUAUUCGCAAGAACACCAGUGGCGAAGGCGGCUCACUGGCCCGGUACUGACGCUGAGGUGCGAAAGCGUGGGGAGCAAACAGG
Molecule: ribosomal RNA, 253 nt
Filed under: uncultured bacterium
Lineage: Bacteria
Description: partial 16S ribosomal RNA
Rfam family: Bacterial small subunit ribosomal RNA
Source: RNAcentral